RNAcentral lists this transfer RNA (66 nucleotides) under Aphodius pedellus. RNAcentral describes it as "tRNA-Ala". The record is from RNAcentral. Lineage: Eukaryota; Metazoa; Arthropoda; Insecta; Coleoptera; Scarabaeidae.
AGGGUAAUAGUUAUUUUAUAACAUUUAAUUUGCAAUUAAAAAGUAUUGAUUUUAUCAAUUUACCUU